UGGCUGGAUAGAUGUCAUCUCACGUGGAUCAUUCCCUUCUGCAUGAUGUUCUCUACAUAGGGAAUUCAUACCAGGAACCUGAACUUGAUUCCUGAUGGUAUUCUCUGAGAUGUUUCAUAAAGAAGGAAAAUAUUUUAGUCUAUGAAUAUUUUUGGCAAAAAGUAGUUUUGUUUGCUUGCUUGCUGUGCUUAAUAUGGAAGCCAGAGCCUCACACAUGCUACGCAAGCACUGACCUACCGCCCCAGCCCCAAAAGUAGCUUUCAGGUCUGAACUCUCCACUUUAAAUCUUCAUUCUUUUUCUAUGAGCAAAUGCACACUGUUUCAUCAUUUAACUGCAUUGAAUUUGGAAGAGAACAUCAUAUGAUUUGGUAAUAUUUUGAUUCACGUAGUCUGUCUGGUCAAAUCUAGCUGACAAACCCAUAGCACUCUGAGCUCCCUAACAUAUGUAAUUGCUUUUUGAAAUCGGUUUGUGUCUUGUCCUCAAUUGCCUUAAUUUUGUGGAUAAGGGCUCUGCAGGCAUCUCCUAACUGCACUCUUCCUCAUCCUCCCUCUGACAUUUGUUCCCAAACUCAUACCAUUUAAGAAAUAAGCCUUGAAUGAAUAACUCAUCUCAAAGAGAAUCACUUGCUUUUCUCUGGAUUGGGCACCAUGCAGAAAAUCCCUUGCUUAUAAAUUGCCUUUAGACACAUUGACUAUGCUGUAAACUGCGCAGAAAUCUGGGUGGUAAAACCCAGGUCACACUUCUGGUUUUCUUUAUUAACUGAAAAGGAAAAGUCUUUAACAUUUCCAUUCUUACAGUGCACGCAUUUAUUGUCUACAAACCUCAUGCUAAUGUGGAAAUGCUAUACUUUCCUGGCUACUGCUCAGUUGUCAUUAAACCGAGUAAAGAUAGCAAAGAAAACCACUGACUGUUUUUAACAGUGUUUUAACAACUUUGUACACUUCCCUUCAAACUCACUAAGCACUAUCUUGGCAAUAAAAGCUUUCGACAUCAAGAAGAAAAUACCUCCAGCGUUGUUUUCCUUUCUCUCUACCACCCACAUUUAUUAAUCCAAGUCACCACCCAUGCAAAUAUGAGUCAUUUGAUGGGGACAUGUGCUUAAUAAUAAGUCACCUCAGGAUACACUAGUCUUACAUCAG
This 1140-nucleotide long non-coding RNA is filed under the name Marmota monax (woodchuck). The record is from RNAcentral. Lineage: Eukaryota; Metazoa; Chordata; Mammalia; Rodentia; Sciuridae.